RNAcentral lists this ribosomal RNA (539 nucleotides) under uncultured bacterium. RNAcentral's name for it is "bacterial SSU rRNA". It matches the Rfam family "Bacterial small subunit ribosomal RNA", at positions 356 to 896 of the family's 1533-position model. The record is from RNAcentral.
GAGGAAUAUUGGUCAAUGGGCGAGAGCCUGAACCAGCCAAGUAGCGUGCAGGAAGACGGCCCUAUGGGUUGUAAACUGCUUUUAUGUGGGGAUAAAGUGAGCUACGUGUAGUUUAUUGCAGGUACCACAUGAAUAAGGACCGGCUAAUUCCGUGCCAGCAGCCGCGGUAAUACGGAAGGUCCGGGCGUUAUCCGGAUUUAUUGGGUUUAAAGGGAGCGUAGGCUGGAGAUUAAGUGUGUUGUGAAAUGUAGACGCUCAACGUCUGACUUGCAGCGCAUACUGGUUUCCUUGAGUACGCACAACGUUGGCGGAAUUCGUCGUGUAGCGGUGAAAUGCUUAGAUAUGACGAAGAACUCCGAUUGCGAAGGCAGCUGACGGGAGCGCAACUGACGCUGAAGCUCGAAGGUGCGGGUAUCGAACAGGAUUAGAUACCCUGGUAGUCCGCACAGUAAACGAUGGAUGCCCGCUGUUGGUACCUGGUAUCAGCGGCUAAGCGAAAGCAUUAAGCAUCCCACCUGGGGAGUACGCCGGCAACGGUG